AAAAUGAAGGUUAUGAUGGAGAUUCGAGAUAUUUAAAUACACAUUUUACUGGUUAAUCAUUACAGUUAAAACCAGAACACAAACGGAGUCACAACUGCAGUGAGAAGAGCUUCUGUGUUCGUUGUUUAUAUUCAGUGUGGAGCUGUAAUGAACCAGCAAACACAAGUGGUGUCACAACGUACGUGUGUUUGAAGGGAAACACCUGACAGAGAAAAGUACAGCGAACUUUCCUGCAGAGCAGACUGACUACUGCAACGGCACAUUUUUUCACUUCCUGUUAUAAACCAAACAGGAGCGAAGGUCCCAUCUACACAGCACAGAUGCUGCUGAUGAAAAAGCCUGAGAGGGAGGAAGAGCUCUGCGUCAGUGUGAUCUGGGUUUGAUUGUGUUUUAACUCUGGAUGAGAACCACCAGUGAGAUCUUACACAGUCUGGACAGGCAGAGAGUUUCACAGUAUGUUUUUUGUGUCGGACCUGCUGAAGAACAGAUCUGUGAGAAGAUCAGCACCUGAUGAUGGAGGAAAACGGGGGACAGUCUCAGCAGAGGAGAGGAAGAAUGAGAGAGGAGAGAAAGAAGAUGAAUGAACAGACUUGAACAGAGUCUAAUGAAGGUGUGAGAGAAGAGCUGAGAGUCCACAGAGAGAGCCGAGCAGACAGAGAGAAAGAAACUGAUGAGUGUGAUGUGAGGAGAGAGAGAGAGAGCAGUGAAAAAAGGAGAAGCUCCAGUCUGGAUCGACUUUAUCGUUUCUGAGCAGAGAGAACAGCACCAUCUGCACCGUCACCUUGAAUGUCCAACAAGACACUCAGCUCCACCACAGGAAAAGAGAACUGUGUUAGCAGGCAGGUCCCUUUUAGCCCUACAGUUCCUUCUCAUGGUGGGCACUAACACUGACACCAACCGCCUACACUCACAGUCACACAACAGCAACAAUGAACAUAAAUGUUUCUCCUACCGGGAGAACACGGCGCCUCCCGAGAGCCUU
Colossoma macropomum (tambaqui) is the source of this 982-nucleotide long non-coding RNA. RefSeq lists it as uncharacterized. Lineage: Eukaryota; Metazoa; Chordata; Actinopteri; Characiformes; Serrasalmidae. The transcript has 3 exons. The record is from RefSeq and is a predicted model, not a curated record.